This 275-nucleotide ribosomal RNA is filed under the name uncultured prokaryote. Its description in RNAcentral is "partial 16S ribosomal RNA". It matches the Rfam family "Bacterial small subunit ribosomal RNA", at positions 524 to 798 of the family's 1533-position model. The record is from RNAcentral.
UACGUAGGUGGCAAGCGUUGUCCGGAAUUACUGGGUGUAAAGGGCGUGUAGGCGGGAAGGCAAGUCAGAUGUGAAAGCCCAUGGCUUAACUGUGGAACUGCAUCUGAAACUGUUUUUCUUGAGUACUGGAGAGGAAAGUGGAAUUCCUAGUGUAGCGGUGAAAUGCGUAGAGAUUAGGAGGAACACCAGUGGCGAAGGCGGCUUUCUGGACAGUAACUGACGCUGAGGCGCGAAAGCGUGGGGAGCAAACAGGAUUAGAUACCCGGGUAGUCCCU